UUAGAUACCCUAGUAUUAAAAUGUCUUAUUUAUUAGUAUUAGUGAAAUUUAAUAAUUUUGGCGGUUGAUUUGUUUUUAGAGGAGCUUGUAUUUAUAGAAUUUACUCUUUAUAUUUUAUUAAAAAUUUAAUUUAUUCAUCUCCGUUAUUAAUUUUUUAAAAGGAAGGUUUGUAAAAUUGUUAUUUUGUAUUUCAGGUCAAGAUGUAAUUUUAUUAAAUAAUAUUAGCUACAUUUAUGUAAUUAAUUGGAUUAUAUUAUAUAAGGAGAAUAUGUAAGGAUUAUAAGAAAUUGAAUUUAGAUGUAACAGUAAUUAGAAUGCUAUUGUGAAUAAUUUUGGUUAAUGUACAUAUUGCCCGUCAUUUCUAUUGAGAAUAGAAUAAGUCGUAACAAAGUA
Molecule: ribosomal RNA, 393 nt
Filed under: Cadeadoius niger
Lineage: Eukaryota; Metazoa; Arthropoda; Arachnida; Opiliones; Gonyleptidae
Description: partial small subunit ribosomal RNA
Source: RNAcentral